CAUNCNGCNUGAGGGAGGAGGCUCUUGGGUCGUAAACCUCUUUUCUCAGGGAAGAACAAAAUGACGGUACCUGAGGAAUAAGCAUCGGCUAACUCCGUGCCAGCAGCCGCGGUAAUACGGAGGAUGCAAGCGUUAUCCGGAAUGAUUGGGCGUAAAGCGUCCGCAGGUGGCUAUGUAAGUCUGCUGUUAAAGAGUCUAGCUCAACUAGAUAAGAGCAGUGGAAACUACAAGGCUAGAGUACGUUCGGGGCAGAGGGAAUUCCUGGUGUAGCGGUGAAAUGCGUAGAGAUCAGGAAGAACACCGGUGGCGAAGGCGCUCUGCUAGGCCGUAACUGACACUGAGGGACGAAAGCUAGGGGAGCGAAUGGGAUUAGAUACCCCAGUAGUCCUAGCCGUAAACGAUGGAUACUAGGCGUGGCUUGUAUCGACCCGAGCCGUGCCGUAGCUAACGCGUUAAGUAUCCCGCCUGGGGAGUACGCCGGCAACGGUGAAACUCAAAGGAAUUGACGGGGGCCCGCACAAGCGGUGGAGUAUGUGGUUUAAUUCGAUGCAACGCGAAGAACCUUACCAAGGCUUGACAUGUCGCGAAUCUUCUUGAAAGGGAAGAGUGCCUUCGGGAGCGCGAACACAGGUGGUGCAUGGCUGUCGUCAGCUCGUGUCGUGAGAUGUUGGGUUAAGUCCCGCAACGAGCGCAACCCUCGUUUUUAGUUGCCAGCAUUAAGUUGGGCACUCUAGAGAGACUGCCGGUGACAAACCGGAGGAAGGUGGGGAUGACGUCAAGUCAGCAUGCCCCUCACGCCUUGGGCUACACACGUACUACAAUGCUCCGGACAGAGGGCAGCAAGCAUGCGAAUGCAAGCAAAUCCCGGAAACCGGAGCUCAGUUCAGAUCGCAGGCUGCAACUCGCCUGCGUGAAGGAGGAAUCGCUAGUAAUUGCAGGUCAGCAUACUGCAGUGAAUUCGUUCCCGGGCCUCGUACACACCGCCCGUCACCCCAUGGAAGCUGGUAGUGCCCGAAGUCAUUACUCCAACCCUUCGGGGAGGAGGAUGCCUAAGGCAGGACUGGUGACUGGGGUGAAGUGGUAACAAGGUAGCCGUACCGGAANGUGCGGCCGGAUCACCUCCUUUUUAGGGAGNC
Molecule: ribosomal RNA, 1136 nt
Filed under: Nostoc sp. 'Gunnera magellanica cyanobiont'
Lineage: Bacteria; Bacillati; Cyanobacteriota; Cyanophyceae; Nostocales; Nostocaceae
Description: bacterial SSU rRNA
Rfam family: Bacterial small subunit ribosomal RNA
Source: RNAcentral